RNAcentral lists this ribosomal RNA (490 nucleotides) under uncultured bacterium. RNAcentral's name for it is "bacterial SSU rRNA". It matches the Rfam family "Bacterial small subunit ribosomal RNA", at positions 30 to 514 of the family's 1533-position model. The record is from RNAcentral.
UGAACGCUAGCGGCAGGCUUAACACAUGCAAGUCGAGGGGCAGCACAGGUAGCAAUACUGGGUGGCGACCGGCGCACGGGUGCGUAACGCGUAUACAAUUUACCUUUUACUAGGGGAUAGCCCAGAGAAAUUUGGAUUAAUACCCUAUAGUAUUAUCGGAUCGCAUGGUUUGGUAAUUAAAAGUUUCGGCGGUAAGAGAUGAGUAUGCGUCCUAUUAGCUAGAUGGUAAGGUAACGGCUUACCAUGGCUAUGAUAGGUAGGGGUCCUGAGAGGGAGAUCCCCCCACACUGGUACUGAGACACGGACCAGACUCCGUACGGGAGGCAGCAGUGAGGAAUAUUGGUCAAUGGGCGCAAGCCUGAACCAGCCAUGCCGCGUGCAGGAUGACUGCCCUAUGGUUGUAAACUGCUUUUUUAACAGGAAGAAACCCUACCAGUGCGUGUAGAUUGACGGUACUGUAUGAAUAGCACGGCUAACUCCGUGCCAGCAG